AUCCAGAUGAUGAGUCCUAAAUAGGAUGAAAUGCUUAUCCUGGAU
This 45-nucleotide non-coding RNA is filed under the name Trichobilharzia regenti. Lineage: Eukaryota; Metazoa; Platyhelminthes; Trematoda; Strigeidida; Schistosomatidae. The record is from RNAcentral.